AACGAAUGCUGGCGGCAGGCUUAACACAUGCAAGUCGAACGCAUCGCAAGAUGAGUGGCAGACGGGUGAGUAACGCGUGGGAACAUACCCUUUUCUACGGAAUAGCUCUGGGAAACUGGAAUUAAUACCGUAUACGCCCUACGGGGGAAAGAUUUAUCGGGGAAGGAUUGGCCCGCGUUGGAUUAGCUAGUUGGUGGGGUAAAGGCCUACCAAGGCGACGAUCCAUAGCUGGUCUGAGAGGAUGAUCAGCCACAUUGGGACUGAGACACGGCCCAAACUCCUACGGGAGGCAGCAGGGGGUAAUAUUGGACAAUGGGCUCAAGCCUUAUCCAGCCAUGCCGCGUGAGUGAUGAAGGCCUUAGGGUUGUAAAGCUCUUUCACCGAUGAAGAUAAUGACGGUAGUCGGAGAAGAAGCCCCGGCUAACUUCGUGCCAGCCGCCGCCGUAA
Molecule: ribosomal RNA, 447 nt
Filed under: uncultured bacterium
Lineage: Bacteria
Description: partial 16S ribosomal RNA
Rfam family: Bacterial small subunit ribosomal RNA
Source: RNAcentral